Molecule: long non-coding RNA, 518 nt
Organism: Quercus lobata
Lineage: Eukaryota; Viridiplantae; Streptophyta; Magnoliopsida; Fagales; Fagaceae
Exons: 2
Source: RefSeq, a predicted model, not a curated record
UCUUUCUAUAACGUAUUCCGAAUUUCUGACAACACUACCCCUCUCUCUGUAACAGCAAUUGAAUGAAAAUGACAACAGCGAAGAAGAAGAAGUUGAUGUCAUCGGCGCCAUGGAGGGGCAAAGAGGAAGCCACUGAACAGUUCCAAGACGAUAACGAUUGAUGAUUCCCUUGUCGAGAUAUAGUUUCAUAUGAAACGUUUCCCUUAAUCUCAAGACCUUGGCCUUGCCAUCAGAGUAUUUAGAAGGGGUGGGGAAGAAGAAGAAACAACCUAAGAAAGGGAGGCAAAAGAAGCAAAAUAGUCGGAAAUGAGGAAACCCAAUGUCUUCAUCCAAAAUAAUGUAAAAGGAAGAUUUACUUUUCACAACAAAAUAUGUGUUCUCUUAAAACAAAGAUCAUUUUGUGUUUGUUUUGUGUUUCAUUAAAUAUUGUUUACGAGGCAAUCAUAUGAAUUCUACAAGUUGUGAUUGUGUUUAGUGGACGCCCUCUUAUGUGAAUUUAAUAUUUUCUUUUGUUGUUC